This is a long non-coding RNA of Stylophora pistillata, 151 nucleotides long. The record is from RefSeq and is a predicted model, not a curated record. Lineage: Eukaryota; Metazoa; Cnidaria; Anthozoa; Scleractinia; Pocilloporidae.
UAAUAAUAAUAGCUCGGGUUUUAAGAGGGCAGUUAGAGGAAUGGAUUUGGAAAUGUUAAAGGACGAUGGUGGCUGUGUGGGCUGCUUGGUUUGCAGUGCAUGAUUCUUAGUUAUAUCUUAGUUAGGCUCAGACUGUUCCUCUCCCCCCUCC